This 752-nucleotide ribosomal RNA is filed under the name Microsporidium sp. BTUB5 WOH. RNAcentral's name for it is "SSU rRNA". It matches the Rfam family "Microsporidia small subunit ribosomal RNA", at positions 1 to 788 of the family's 1311-position model. Lineage: Eukaryota; Fungi; Microsporidia. The record is from RNAcentral.
CACCAGGUUGAUUCUGCCUGACGUAGAUGCUAGUCUCUAAGAUUAAGCCAUGCAUGUUUCCGUAAUUAGGGACGAAUAGCUCAGUAAAACUGCGAUAAUUUAGUCCGUUUGAGUAGAUAACUACGUGAAAAUGUAGCUAAGGGAGAGCAGAAUAAGACGCAGGACUAUCAGUUAGUUGGUAGUGUAAUGGACUACCAAGACUAUGACGGAUAACGGGAAAUUAGGGUUUUAUACCGGAGAGGGAGCCUGAGAGAUUGCUCCCACGUCCAAGGACGGCAGCAGGCGCGAAAAUUGCCCACUCUUGUAGGAGGCAGUUAUGAGACGUAAAAUAGAAUAUUCUGUAAAGAAGAAUAAGAGAAUUGGAGGGCAAGUUUGGUGCCAGCAGCCGCGGUAAUACCGACUCCAAGAGUGUGUAUGAGAGAUGCUGCAGUUAAAAAGUCCGUAGUCAUAAAAACAGAAAUACUAAAUAAACAAUGAUAUUUUAAUGAUAGAGGAACCGAUGGGGAACAUAGUAUACCAGGGCGAGAGAUGAAAUGCCAAGACCCCUGGUGGACUAAGCGAGGCGAAGGCGAUGUUCUUGUAGGUAUUCGAUGAUCAAGGACGAAGGCAGGAGUAUCGAAAGUGAUUAGAUACCGCAGUAGUUCCUGCAGUAAAAUAUGCCGACAUGUUUAUUGGUAACAAUGGACAGGGAGAAAUCUUAGUGUUCGGGCUCUGGGGAUAGUAUGCUCGCAAGAGUGAAAAUUAAAGAAAUU